Long non-coding RNA from Carassius gibelio (silver crucian carp), 3873 nucleotides. RefSeq lists it as uncharacterized. NCBI's taxonomy places the organism in Eukaryota, Metazoa, Chordata, Actinopteri, Cypriniformes, Cyprinidae. The record is from RefSeq and is a predicted model, not a curated record. The transcript has 6 exons.
AUGUGAGUGGUGCUUGCAGUGGCAAAUCUCUGCGCCCUGUAGCCACCCAUGAUGCCUGUUUGAUAUUGUGGAGCCGUGAUAUAAGUUCUUUAUAUUGCUAUAUGGUUGCUAGGGCGCUCUAUAUGGUUGCUAUGGUGUGCCUAUAUAGUUCAUAUAGUGAUAUUUAAAGAUGAUUUACCAGCCUGAUUCCAAAAAGCCCAAGACAGUGUUUCUAUAUGGUUAUUUUGAUGAUAUAUAGCUUUUAAAUGUUGUUAAACAGUUGCUAGGGUGCUAAAAUUGGUUGCUAUGGCGUGGCUAUGAAGUUGUUAUGUCACUACUUAUGGACUGCUUGAUAGGCCGAGUCAAAAGAGCCCUCUCCCAAGCCUCUAUGACUUUCUGAUCCAAAGAUAUGAUGUCAGAUAAUUUUUCCAAUGUUAAGUCAAUGGGAUAUUUUCACACAUUUUCUUCGCCCGCUGUACGAUUAUCGUAAGUCCGAUUGCUUAGAAAAGUCAUAGCACACCUCUCCUCAAUAUCCUGCACGAUUUGACACCUCAUUCAUGGGUCUGUGACAAAAAAUGCGGGAGGAGUAGCGUGCCAAAGUUUUGUCAAGGCGAAUAGUAAUAGUAACACUAGAAGGUACAUUUCCUGAAGAAAAUGUGAGUGGUGCUUGCAGUGGCAAAACUCGCCCCUCUGUUGCUAGGGUGUGGUUGCUAGGGUACCCGGGUGGUUGCUAGGGCGGUUGCUAGGGUCCCUAUGAUGGUUGCUAGGGCCGUUGCUAGGGUACCCAGGGUGGUUGCUAGGGUAAUUGGGGCGGUUGCUAGGGUGUUGCUAUGUGGUUGCUAGGGUAACCGGGGUGGUUGCUAGGGCGGUUGCUAUGGUAACCUGGGUGGUUGCUAGGCAGUUGCUACGGUACUUGGGGUGGUUGCUAAGGUGUUGCUAGGCGGUUGCUAGGGUGUUUUGGCUGGUUGCUAGGCAGUUGCUAUGGUCUCCUGGGUGGUUGCUAUGAUGUUACUAGGUGGUUGGUAGUUGUCACAGAUGGUCACUAUGUAGUUAUUAUAGAGUUCUUAGCCCAUUUGAGCACUUAGCUAAUCACUAUUAGCAUGUAGCUAAUCACUGCUAGCAUGACUAGCAUGUUGGAAGUCCAGUGUGCUAGCAUGAGUCAAAAAAUCCAACCGCCAUGUCUGUACGAUGUUCUGAUGCAGAGAUAUAGGUCGUGCAAAACGGUUGCUAGGGUACUCCAUUUGGUUGCUAUGGAGUGGCUUGGCAACUGCCAAUGGUGAUACUACAAAGGCUGCUCGUCAAUAUAAACCAACCCCCAUGCCUCUACGAUGUUCUGAUGCAGAGAUAUAGAUCUUGCAAAACGGUUGCUAGGGUACUGUGUUUGGUUGCUAGGGAGUGGCCUGGCAGCUGCCAAUGAUGAUACUCCAUUGGUUGCUUGCUAAUAUAAACCAACCCCCAUGCUUCUAUGUCUUUCAGAUGUUAAGAUAUCUAUCUUUGGAUUUUGGUUGCUAGGUAGCUCUUAAUGGUUGCUAGGGCGUGGCUAGGUUGUCUUGAAGGAGAUACAUGAUUGGCCGUUUGCUGCCCGAGUCAAACGAGCCCACCCUCAUGUUUCUAUGACACUUCUAUCCAAAGUUAUUAAUUUUAUAUUUUUCUAUGGAAGUCUAUGGAGCUUGUUGCUAUGGUGCUCUAUAUGGUUGCUAGGGCGUGGCUUGAUAGCUUCAUAAUGAUCACGAGAGUCUGAUUGGUUGCCUGAUUCAAAUGAGCCCACCCCCUUGUCUUUAUGACUAUGUGAUCCAUAGUUAUGCUCAAUGCAAUAUCCCUAUGUAAUUUCCCACAGUAGGAAAAAUACAUUGUUUCAUGGGCGAUCCCUCACCAUUGGCUUAGUAUGGGGCAACUUUGGGGGGCUCUUGCGCCCCAGGGGUAAAACUUAUACCCCAUUGCGGGGUAUGAUCGCGUCCAGCCUGAUAGCCUCUCCAAAUGUGGUGAUUCGCGUGUUUCUGCGAUAUUCUCUCUCGGAGCUACGUUCCGUCAAAGUUGGCCGUAAUGCAUUGUCUAUGGGAUUUUUCGCCCGAUUUUUCGCCCGGUGUACGAACAUCGUACGCCCGAUCGCUUAUAAAAGUCAUAGCACACCAUUCCCGUAUAGGCCGCACGAUUUGACGCCUGUUUCGUUGGUCUGUGACAAAAUCUGCGGGACUAGUUACGUGCCGAAAUUUUGGCGGAAGAAGUAAGAAGAAGAAGAAGAAGAAGAAUAAUAAGUAUGUGAGAUAAUAAUAGUGAUGCUUUGCCUCCGGCAAGCACCACUAAUAAUAAGUAUGUGAGAUAAUAAUAGUGAUGCUUUGCCUACGGCAAGCACCACUAACUAGAAGGUACAUUUCCUGAAGAAAAUGUGAGUGGUGCUUGCAGUGGCAAAACUCGCCCCUCUGUUGCUAAGGUGUGGUUGCUAGGGUACCCGGGGUGGUUGCUAGGGUCCCUAUGAUGGUUGCUAGGGCCGUUGCUAGGGUACCCAGGGUGGUUGCUAGGGUAAUCGGGGUGGUUGCUAGGGUGUUGCUAUGUGGUUGCUAGGGUACCCGGGGUGGUUGCUAGGGCGGUUGCUAGGGUCCCCAUGAUGGUUGCUAGGGCCGUUGCUAGGGUACCCAGGUUGGUUGCUAGGGUAAUCGGGGUGGUUGCUAGGGUGUUGCUAUGUGGUUGCUAGGGUACCCGGGGUGGUUGCUAGGGUGGUUGCUAGGGUCCCCAUGAUGGUUGCUAGGGCCGUUGCUAGGGUACCCAGGUUGGUUGCUAGGGUAAUCGGGGUGGUUGCUAGGGUGUUGCUAUGUGGUUGCUAGGGUACCCGGGGUGGUUGCUAGGGCGGUUGCUAGGGUCCCCAUGAUGGUUGCUAGGGCCGUUGCUAGGGUACCCAGGGUGGUUGCUAGGGUAAUCGGGGUGGUUGCUAAGGUGUUGCUAGGCGGUUGCUAGGGUACCCGGGGUGGUUGCUAGGCAGUUGCUAUGGUCUCCUGGGUGGUUGCUAUGAUGUUACUAGGUGGUUGGUAGUUGUCACAGAUGGUCACUAUGUAGUUAUUAUAGAGUUCUUAGCCCAUUUGAGCACUUAGCUAAUCACUAUUAGCAUGUAGCUAAUCACUGCUAGCAUGACUAGCAUGUUGGAAGUCCAGUGUGCUAGCAUGAGUCAAAAAAUCCAACCGCCAUGUCUGUACGAUGUUCUGAUGCAGAGAUAUAGGUCGUGCAAAACGGUUGCUAGGGUACUCCAUUUGGUUGCUAUGGAGUGGCUUGGCAGCUGCCAAUGGUGAUACUCCAAAGGCUGCUCGUCAAUAUAAACCAACCCCCAUGCCUCUACGAUGUUCUGAUGCAGAGAUAUAGAUCUUGCAAAACGGUUGCUAGGGUACUGUGUUUGGUUGCUAGGGAGUGGCCUGGCAGCUGCCAAUGAUGAUACUCCAUUGGUUGCUUGCUAAUAUAAACCAACCCCCAUGCUUCUAUGUCUUUCAGAUGUUAAGAUAUCUAUCUUUGGAUUUUGGUUGCCAGGUAGCUCUUAAUGGUUGCUAGGGCGUGGCUAGGUUGUCAUGAAGGAGAUACAUGAUUGGCCGUUUGCUUCCCGAGUCAAACGAGCCCACCCUCAUGUUUCUAUGACACUUCUAUCCAAAGUUAUUCAUUUGAUCUUUUUCAGUGGAAGUCUAUGGGGCUUGUUGCUAUGGCGCUCUAUAUGGUUGCUAGGGCGUGGCUUGAUAACUUCACAGUGAUCCUGAGAGACUGAUUGGUUGCCUGAUUAAUAUGAGCCCACCCCCUUGUCUCUAUGACACUGUAAUCCAGAGUUAUGUUCAAUGCAAAAUCCCUAUGUAAUUUCCCAUAGUAGCCCUCCCUAUACUUUGUAUUAGGGGCAAAUUUGGGGGGCUGUUGCGCCCCAGG